RNAcentral lists this ribosomal RNA (492 nucleotides) under uncultured bacterium. RNAcentral describes it as "partial 16S ribosomal RNA". It matches the Rfam family "Bacterial small subunit ribosomal RNA", at positions 29 to 507 of the family's 1533-position model. The record is from RNAcentral.
AGUGAACGCUGGCGGUAUGCCUAACACAUGCAAGUCGAACGGCAGCACAGUAAGAGCUUGCUCUUACGGGUGGCGAGUGGCGGACGUGUGAGGAAUACAUCGUAAUCUACUUUUUCGUGGGUGAUAACGUAGGGAAACUUACGCUAAUACCGCAUACGACCUACGGGGGAAAUCAGGGGAUCUUCGGACCUUGCGCGAUUGAAGGAGCCGCUGUCGUGUUAGCUAGUUGGCGGGGUAAAGGCCCACAAAGGCGACGAUCCGUAGCUGGUCUGAGAGGAUGAUGAGCCACACUGGAACUGAGACACGGUCCAGACUCCUACGGGAGGAAGAAGUGGGGAAUAUUGGACAAUGGGCGCAAGCCUGCUCCAGACAUACCGGGUGGGUGAAGAAGGCCUUCGGGUUGUAAAGCCCUUUUGUUGGGAAAGAAAAGUAGCAGGUUAAUACCCCGCUGUUCUGACGGUACCCAAAGAAUAAGCACCGGCUAACUUCGUG